UACGGAGGGUGCAAGCGUUAUCCGGAUUCACUGGGUUUAAAGGGUGCGUAGGUGGGCUUGUAAGUCAGUGGUGAAAUCUCCGGGCUUAACCCGGAAACUGCCAUUGAUACUAUAGGUCUUGAAUUAUCUGGAGGUCAGCGGAAUAUGUCAUGUAGCGGUGAAAUGCUUAGAUAUGACAUAGAACACCAAUUGCGAAGGCAGCUGGCUACAGGUAUAUUGACACUGAGGCACGAAAGCGUGGGGAUCAAACAGG
This 253-nucleotide ribosomal RNA is filed under the name Ferruginibacter sp. Its description in RNAcentral is "partial 16S ribosomal RNA". It matches the Rfam family "Bacterial small subunit ribosomal RNA", at positions 524 to 776 of the family's 1533-position model. RNAcentral also lists the same sequence under 1 other name. Lineage: Bacteria; Pseudomonadati; Bacteroidota; Chitinophagia; Chitinophagales; Chitinophagaceae. The record is from RNAcentral.